AGUGAACGCUGGCGGUAGGCCUAACACAUGCAAGUCGAACGGCAGCACAGUAAGAGCUUGCUCUUACGGGUGGCGAGUGGCGGACGGGUGAGGAAUACAUCGGAAUCUACUUUUUCGUGGGGGAUAACGUAGGGAAACUUACGCUAAUACCGCAUACGACCUACGGGUGAAAGCAGGGGAUCUUCGGACCUUGCGCGAUUGAAUGAGCCGAUGUCGGAUUAGCUAGUUGGCGGGGUAAAGGCCCACCAAGGCGACGAUCCGUAGCUGGUCUGAGAGGAUGAUCAGCCACACUGGAACUGAGACACGGUCCAGACUCCUACGGGAGGCGGCAGUGGGGAAUAUUGGACAAUGGGCGCAAGCCUGAUCCAGCCAUACCGCGUGUGUGAAGAAGGCCUUCGGGUUGUAAAGCCCUUUUGUUGGGAAAGAAAAGCAGCAGGUUAAUACCCCGCUGUUCUGACGGUACCCAAAGAAUAAGCACCGGCUAACUUCGUG
Molecule: ribosomal RNA, 492 nt
Filed under: uncultured bacterium
Lineage: Bacteria
Description: partial 16S ribosomal RNA
Rfam family: Bacterial small subunit ribosomal RNA
Source: RNAcentral